GGGGAUUUAGCUCAGCGGCAUAAGCGCCUGCCUUGCAAGCAGGCAGUCGUGAGUUCUAUCCCUA
Molecule: transfer RNA, 64 nt
Filed under: Cavia porcellus (domestic guinea pig)
Lineage: Eukaryota; Metazoa; Chordata; Mammalia; Rodentia; Caviidae
Rfam family: tRNA
About the family: Transfer RNA (tRNA) molecules are approximately 80 nucleotides in length. Their secondary structure includes four short double-helical elements and three loops (D, anti-codon, and T loops).
Source: Rfam by way of RNAcentral